This 432-nucleotide ribosomal RNA is filed under the name uncultured bacterium. Its description in RNAcentral is "partial 16S ribosomal RNA". It matches the Rfam family "Bacterial small subunit ribosomal RNA", at positions 29 to 506 of the family's 1533-position model. The record is from RNAcentral.
AACGAACGCUGGCGGCAUGCCUAACACAUGCAAGUCGAACGAGACCUUCGGGUCUAGUGGCGCACGGGUGCGUAACGCGUGGGAACCUGCCCUUAGGUUCGGAAUAACUCCCCGAAAGGGGUGCUAAUACCGGAUAAUGUCUUCGGACCAAAGAUUUAUCGCCUUUGGAUGGGCCCGCGUUGGAUUAGCUAGUUGGUAGGGUAACAGCCUACCAAGGCGACGAUCCAUAGCUGGUCUGAGAGGAUGAUCAGCCACACUGGGACUGAGACACGGCCCAGACUCCUCCGGGAGGGAGCAGUGGGGAACAUUGGACAAUGGGCGAAAGCCUGAUCCAGCAAUGCCGCGUGAGUGAUGAAGGCCUUAGGGUGGUAAAGCUCUUUUACCCGGGAUGUUAAUGACGGUCCCGGGAGAAUAGACCCCGGCUAACUCCGU